UAGAGUUUGAUCAUGCUCAGAUUGAACGCUGGCGGCAGGCCUAACACAUGCAAGUCGAGCGGUAGCACAGAAGAGCUUGCUCUUUGGGUGACGAGCGGCGGACGGGUGAGUAAUGUCUGGGAAACUGCCUGAUGGAGGGGGAUAACUACUGGAAACGGUAGCUAAUACCGCAUAACCUCGCAAGAGCAAAGAGGGGGACCUUMGGGCCUCUCGCCAUCAGAUGUGCCCAGAUGGGAUUAGCUAGUAGGUGAGGUAAUGGCUCACCUAGGCGACGAUCCCUAGCUGGUCUGAGAGGAUGACCAGCCACACUGGAACUGAGACACGGUCCAGACUCCUACGGGAGGCAGCAGUGGGGAAUAUUGCACAAUGGGCGCAAGCCUGAUGCAGCCAUGCCGCGUGUGUGAAGAAGGCCUUCGGGUUGUAAAGCACUUUCAGCGAGGAGGAAGGCGGUAAGGUUAAUAACCUUAUCGAUUGACGUUACUCGCAGAAGAAGCACCGGCUAACUCCGUGCCAGCAGCCGCGGUAAUACGGAGGGUGCAAGCGUUAAUCGGAAUGACUGGGCGUAAAGCGCACGCAGGCGGUCUGUUAAGUUGGAUGUGAAAUCCCCGGGCUUAACCUGGGAACUGCAUUCAAAACUGACAGGCUAGAGUCUUGUAGAGGGGGGUAGAAUUCCAGGUGUAGCGGUGAAAUGCGUAGAGAUCUGGAGGAAUACCGGUGGCGAAGGCGGCCCCCUGGACAAAGACUGACGCUCAGGUGCGAAAGCGUGGGGAGCAAACAGGAUUAGAUACCCUGGUAGUCCACGCUGUAAACGAUGUCGAUUUGGAGGUUGUGCCCUUGAGGCGUGGCUUCCGGAGCUAACGCGUUAAAUCGACCGCCUGGGGAGUACGGCCGCAAGGUUAAAACUCAAAUGAAUUGACGGGGGCCCGCACAAGCGGUGGAGCAUGUGGUUUAAUUCGAUGCAACGCGAAGAACCUUACCUACUCUUGACAUCCACAGAAUUUGGUAGAGAUACCUUAGUGCCUUCGGGAACUGUGAGACAGGUGCUGCAUGGCUGUCGUCAGCUCGUGUUGUGAAAUGUUGGGUUAAGUCCCGCAACGAGCGCAACCCUUAUCCUUUGUUGCCAGCGAUUUCGGUCGGGAACUCAAAGGAGACUGCCGGUGAUAAACCGGAGGAAGGUGGGGAUGACGUCAAGUCAUCAUGGCCCUUACGAGUAGGGCUACACACGUGCUACAAUGGCGUAUACAAAGAGAAGCGACCUCGCGAGAGCAAGCGGACCUCAUAAAGUACGUCGUAGUCCGGAUUGGAGUCUGCAACUCGACUCCAUGAAGUCGGAAUCGCUAGUAAUCGUAGAUCAGAAUGCUACGGUGAAUACGUUCCCGGGCCUUGUACACACCGCCCGUCACACCAUGGGAGUGGGUUGCAAAAGAAGUAGGUAGCUUAACCUUCGGGAGGGCGCUUACCACUUUGUGAUUCAUGACUGGGGUGAAGUCGUAACAAGGUAACCGUAGGGGAACCUGCGGUUGGAUCACCUCCUUA
This 1536-nucleotide ribosomal RNA is filed under the name Pectobacterium atrosepticum. Its description in RNAcentral is "16S ribosomal RNA". It matches the Rfam family "Bacterial small subunit ribosomal RNA". The record is from RNAcentral. Lineage: Bacteria; Pseudomonadati; Pseudomonadota; Gammaproteobacteria; Enterobacterales; Pectobacteriaceae.